Molecule: non-coding RNA, 173 nt
Filed under: Clostridium sp.
Lineage: Bacteria; Bacillati; Bacillota; Clostridia; Eubacteriales; Clostridiaceae
Description: T-box sequence
Rfam family: T-box leader
About the family: Uncharged tRNA acts as the effector for transcription antitermination of genes in the T-box leader family. T-boxes are found upstream of many aminoacyl-tRNA synthetase genes and some amino acid biosynthetic genes usually in Gram-positive bacteria.
Source: RNAcentral
UAUUAAGCAAUGAUAAAAAGGAGUAAAUAUGUGGAACAUUCAGAGAGGAAGUGGCUGGUGAGAACUUCUUGGAAAACAUAUUGAAGCUGUUUUGGAGCUAUAUUUUAAUGAAGAGAUAUGAGGAGUUUCCUCAUAUAAUUAGGGUGGUAACGCGGAAAACCUUCGUCCCUUUA